UUGGGGAGUGAGAAUGCAGACAUGAGUAGCGAGAGGCGGGUGCGAAUCCCGCCCGCUGGAUGACCAAGGGUUCCGGGGCCACGUUCGUCGUCCCCGGGUGAGUCGGGUCCUAAGGCGAGGCCGACAGGCGUAGUCGAAUGGAUGAACGGGCUGAUAUUCCCGUACCGGCAGCGAACCGAAACAACCGAGGCCUGGGGCGCUAACCUCCGGGUCCGUGCCGUCUCCCCUUUCGGGGGGUCGCGGCGCGGGCGCGUUGGGAUCCCCCCUCGUAGUAGGUCAGCGCAGGAGUGACGCAUCAGGGCAGCCGGCCGCGGAGGUGGUUUUCCGUGGUCAAGCGUUCGAGCCCGUCCCGCAGGCAAAUCCGCGGGCGUCGGGGCGAGGCGUGAUGAUGGGGGCCUUACGGCCCGAAUCCGGUGAUCCGUGGUGCCGAGAAAAGCUUCGGCGUCAGGCGCGUUGCCGCCCGUACCCCAAACCGACACUGGUGGUCAGGUAGAGAAUACCAAAGCGAUCGAGCGAAUCCUGGUCAAGGAACUCGGCAAAUUGCUCCCGUGCCUUCGGCAUAAGGGAGACCCCCUGCGGUGAUGAGCGGCGGGGGGUGGCACAGGCCAGGGGGUGGCGACUGUUUACCAAAAACACAGGAGCGUGUGAAGGCGCAAGCCGCUGUAUACGCUCUGACGCCUGCCCGGUGCCGGAAGGUUAAGAGGAUCCGUCAGCUUUCUGCGAAGCGGUGAAUUCAAGCCCCGGUAAACGGCGGUGGUAACGAUAACCAUCCUAAGGUAGCGAAAUUCCUUGUCGGGUAAGUUUCGACCUGCACGAAUGGCGUAACGACUUCCCCACUGUCUCGACCAGGAGCUCGGCGAAAUUGCAGUACGAGUAAAGAUGCUCGUUAAGCGCAGAAGGACGAAGAGACCCCGGGACCUUUACUAUACCUUGGUAUUGGCAUUAGGCGCGGAUUGUGUAGCAUAGGCGGGAGGCUUCGAGGCGGGUGCGCCAGCAUCCGCGGAGCCGCAAGGUGAAAUACCGCUCCGUUCUCGUUUGAUGUCUAACCUCGAACAGUCAUCCUGUUCAGGGACAGUGCCUGGCGGGUAGUUCAACUGGGGCGGUUGCCUCCCAAAGAGUAACGGAGGCGCUCAAAGGUCCGCUCGGCCCGGUUGGCAAUCGGGUGUCGAGUGUAAUCGCACAAGCGGGCUUGACUGCGAGAUCGACGGAUCGAGCAGGGACGAAAGUCGGAGAUAGUGAUCCGGUGCCGGCGCACGGGCGCGGCAUCGCUCAACGGAUAAAAGGUACCCCGGGGAUAACAGGCUGAUCAUUCCCAAGAGUCCAUAUCGACGGGAUGGUUUGGCACCUCGAUGUCGGCUCGUCGCAUCCUGGGGCUGGAGCAGGUCCCAAGGGUUCGGCUGUUCGCCGAUCAAAGCGGCACGCGAGCUGGGUUCAGAACGUCGUGAGACAGUUUGGUCUCUAUCCUCUGCGCUCGUUGGAAUCUUGAGGAGGCCCGCCCAUAGUACGAGAGGACCUGGGUGGACGAACCUCUGGUAUGCCGGUCGUCACGCCAGUGGCGCGGCCGGUUGCUACGUUCGGAAGGGAUAACCGCUGAAAGCAUCUAAGCGGGAAGCCUUCUCCAAGAUAAGGAUUCCAUGCGGCCCCGAGCCGCUGAAGACCCCAUGCAGAACACGUGGUCGAUAGGCCGGACGUGGAAGCCCCGCGAGGGGUGGAGCCGACCGGUACUAAUGGUCGAGAGGC
This 1740-nucleotide ribosomal RNA is filed under the name metagenome. RNAcentral's name for it is "bacterial LSU rRNA". It matches the Rfam family "Bacterial large subunit ribosomal RNA", at positions 1281 to 2917 of the family's 2925-position model. The record is from RNAcentral.